AUUCUCAAAAAACAGCUCUGUUAUCUGUUAAUCAACUCAAGAGGAAAAAAAAAAUUAAAAAUAAAAAUCAGACGGCCAGAAACGUUUCUCGUCUGCAAUAUCAAAAUCGAUUAUCUAAAAAGCAAUAGUUAAGCUAAAAUUGUCUCCAUCGAUAAGAACCAAAAUCACCUCGAGAUCACUCCGGAGAAAACGAAAACAUGGAGAACUAAA
RNAcentral lists this unclassified non-coding RNA (210 nucleotides) under Hevea brasiliensis (rubber tree). Lineage: Eukaryota; Viridiplantae; Streptophyta; Magnoliopsida; Malpighiales; Euphorbiaceae. The record is from RNAcentral.